AUGGAGGUUACUGAUAUAUGCCCAUUAUGUGGUCUCGAGCGCGAGGACACUUUUCAUGUGUUUUGCAGGUGCCCUCGGGUGGUGCAUUUGUGGCGGACUAUGGCGGAGGUGUGGAGUAUACCGGACAUCGAGUCAGUCCGUAACACCGGCCCGGAGUGGCUCCUGAACCUAAUUGCAGAAAGCAAUGAAGGGGACCGGCUGCGCCUGAUUAUGCUGCUGUGGAGAUGUUGGCAUGUGCGCAACGAGAUCACUCAUGACAAACCGGCGCCGCCUGUGGAGGUAUCUCGUCGCUUUUUGCAGAGCUACGUAACCUCACUGCUCGGGAUCCAGCAGUAUCCGCAGGGAGAUUGGGACAAAGGGAAGAUGACCAUCCAACAAGAAGAUGCAGAACAGCCUAUAUCGCAUGUGGGAGGUGUGCCACGAACAGCCCACAAAUGGGGUCCCCCACCCGCCAACUGGACGAAGCUGAAUGUCGACGGCUCCUUUUCCCAUGAUGACGGGAGGGCCGGGACGGGAAUGGUGCUCCGUGACCAGGAAGGGGCCAUUAUUUUCUCCGCGUGUCGCUCGCUAUGGUCUUGCCCGGGCCCUCUACAUGCCGAGCUAGCUGGGUGCAUGGAGGGCAUAGCUUUGGCCCUCCAAUGGACGGAGCUGCCGUUUAUCAUCGAGUGUGAUAGUCUGCAGGCAGUGCAACUGAUCAAUGCCUCAGGACAAGACCGGUCGCAGUACGCCAUGGUGGUCUCGGAAGUGAAGCAUCUUAUGAGUGAAAGGGAGUGUCAUGUUAUUCAUAUUUCUCGAGAGCAGAAUAAUGUAAGCCAUACGUUGGCGAACUUUGGAAGGACGGAAGACCGUACUGUGGUCUGGCUCCACACCGGCCCGGACAAUAUCCCUAGCUUGUGUAGGGAGGACCUUCUUGGCUCUUGA
Molecule: ribosomal RNA, 921 nt
Filed under: Triticum aestivum (bread wheat)
Lineage: Eukaryota; Viridiplantae; Streptophyta; Magnoliopsida; Poales; Poaceae
Description: partial small subunit ribosomal RNA
Source: RNAcentral